GUGAACUUAGCUCAGUUGGUAGGAUAUUACAUAUUAUAUGCAGAGGUCAGAGUUCGAAUCUCGGAUACUUCACU
This 74-nucleotide transfer RNA is filed under the name Medicago truncatula (barrel medic). RNAcentral describes it as "tRNA-OTHER". Lineage: Eukaryota; Viridiplantae; Streptophyta; Magnoliopsida; Fabales; Fabaceae. The record is from RNAcentral.